UGAGGAAUAUUGGACAAUGGGGGAAACCCUGAUCCAGCCAUGCCGCGUGAGUGAUGAAGGCCUUCGGGUUGUAAAGCUCUUUAGUCCGGGACGAUGAUGACGGUACCGGAAGAAUAAGCCCCGGCUAACUUCGUGCCAGCAGCCGCGGUAAUACGAAGGGGGCAAGCGUUGUUCGGAAUCACUGGGCGUAAAGCGUGUGUAGGCGGUUUAAUAAGUCAGGCGUGAAAGCCCCGGGCUCAACCCGGGAACUGCGCUUGAAACUAUUUUACUUGAGACCGGGAGAGGUUGGCAGAAUUCCAAGUGUAGAGGUGAAAUUCGCAGAUAUUUGGAGGAAUACCAGUGGCGUAAGCGGCCAACUGGACCGGUACUGACGCUGAGACACGAAAGCGUGGGGAGCAAA
RNAcentral lists this ribosomal RNA (400 nucleotides) under uncultured bacterium. RNAcentral's name for it is "bacterial SSU rRNA". It matches the Rfam family "Bacterial small subunit ribosomal RNA", at positions 355 to 772 of the family's 1533-position model. The record is from RNAcentral.